UUGCAGUUGAUACUGGAUAUCUUGAGUGCAGUUGAGGCAGGCGGAAUUCGUGGUGUAGCGGUGAAAUGCUUAGAUAUCACGAAGAACUCCGAUUGCGAAGGCAGCCUGCUAAGCUGCAACUGACAUUGAGGCUCGAAAGUGUGGGUAUCAAACAGGAUUAGAUACCCUGGUAGUCCACACGGUAAACGAUGAAUACUCGCUGUUUGCGAUAUACUGCAAGCGGCCAAGCGAAAGCGUUAAGUAUUCCACCUGGGGAGUACGCCGGCAACGGUGAAACUCAAAGGAAUUGACGGGGGCCCGCACAAGCGGAGGAACAUGUGGUUUAAUUCGAUGAUACGCGAGGAACCUUACCCGGGCUUAAAUUGCAGAUGAAUUACGGUGAAAGCCGUAAGCCGCAAGGCAUCUGUGAAGGUGCUGCAUGGUUGUCGUCAGCUCGUGCCGUGAGGUGUCGGCUUAAGUGCCAUAACGAGCGCAACCCUUGUUGUCAGUUACUAACAGGUUCCGCUGAGGACUCUGACAAGACUGCCAUCGUAAGAUGUGAGGAAGGUGGGGAUGACGUCAAAUCAGCACGGCCCUUACGUCCGGGGCUACACACGUGUUACAAUGGGGGGUACAGAGGGCCGCUACCACGCGAGUGGAUGCCAAUCCCCAAAACCUCUCUCAGUUCGGACUGGAGUCUGCAACCCGACUCCACGAAGCUGGAUUCGCUAGUAAUCGCGCAUCAGCCACGGCGCGGUGAAUACGUUCCCGGGCCUUGUACACACCGCCCGUCAAGCCAUGGGAGCCGGGGGUACCUGAAGUGCGUAACCGCGAGGAGCGCCCUAGGGUAAAACUGGUGACUGGGGCUAAGUCG
This 853-nucleotide ribosomal RNA is filed under the name uncultured organism. RNAcentral's name for it is "SSU rRNA". It matches the Rfam family "Bacterial small subunit ribosomal RNA", at positions 621 to 1488 of the family's 1533-position model. The record is from RNAcentral.